Molecule: long non-coding RNA, 411 nt
Organism: Corvus hawaiiensis (hawaiian crow)
Lineage: Eukaryota; Metazoa; Chordata; Aves; Passeriformes; Corvidae
Exons: 3
Source: RefSeq, a predicted model, not a curated record
UCUAAGCUGGAGUCCAGAGUGUGCAUUUUUCUUGAGCAAUCUUUAUGGCUUGACUUCAGGGGCCCUCUUCUCUCACUAGAGGCAUCAAAGUGUUUCCUGUCCCGAGAACUUCGCGGUAUCAUGAUCAUUCAAGAUAAAAUGGAAUCCAGUUAUUUUGCAGUAUAACAAAUGUUCUAAGUAUAUCACUUAGUGCCAGGUGUUAAACAACCUUAAGCACCUUAAUUACUUCAGCUGUUUUCAGAUGCUGCUCCCAGGAAAUGUACCUUGAGAAGAAGAUAGAACAGGAAUCUCUUACUGAAGCAGAGAAUCCCUCCCCAUCUGACACUUUGGAUUAUUUGUGAAUGACUCUGGCACUCUGAAGGACUUGCCACUUAGGCUAAAAUGGACUGAAAACAGCAUUCCCAUGAACCA